RNAcentral lists this ribosomal RNA (600 nucleotides) under uncultured bacterium. RNAcentral describes it as "bacterial SSU rRNA". It matches the Rfam family "Bacterial small subunit ribosomal RNA", at positions 74 to 695 of the family's 1533-position model. The record is from RNAcentral.
UGCUAUAAUUGUCAGCUAAGUGGCGCACGGGUGAGUAAUGUAUAGAUAACCCGCCCUUAAGAAAGGAAUAACAGUUGGAAACGACUGCUAAUGCCCUAUAUGCCUUUAAUACAUAAGUAUGCAAGGGAAACGCUUUAGUGCUUAAGGAUGGGUCUGUAUGGUAUCAGCUUGUUGGUGAGGUAAUGGCUCACCAAGGCUAUGACGCCUAACUGGUUUGAGAGGAUGAUCAGUCACACUGGAACUGAGACACGGUCCAGACUCCUACGGGAGGCAGCAGUGGGGAAUAUUGCACAAUGGACGAAAGUCUGAUGCAGCAACGCCGCGUGGAGGAUGACACAUUUCGGUGCGUAAACUCCUUUUAUAUAGGAAGAUAAUGACGGUACUAUAUGAAUAAGCACCGGCUAACUCCGUGCCAGCAGCCGCGGUAAUACGGAGGGUGCAAGCGUUACUCGGAAUCACUGGGCGUAAAGAGCGUGUAGGCGGGUAUAUAAGUCAGAAGUGAAAUCCAAUAGCUCAACUAUUGAACUGCUUUUGAAACUGUAUACCUAGAAUGUGGGAGAGGUAGAUGGAAUUUCUGGUGUAAGGGUAAAAUCCGUAGAG